GCGGAGGGAUCAUUACUGAGUUUACGCUCUAUAACCCUUUGUGAACAUACCUAUAACUGUUGCUUCGGCGGGUAGGGUCUCCGUGACCCUCCCGGCCUCCCGCCCCCGGGCGGGUCGGCGCCCGCCGGAGGAUAACCAAACUCUGAUUUAACGACGUUUCUUCUGAGUGGUACAAGCAAAUAAUCAAAACUUUUAACAACGGAUCUCUUGGUUCUGGCAUCGAUGAAGAACGCAGCGAAAUGCGAUAAGUAAUGUGAAUUGCAGAAUUCAGUGAAUCAUCGAAUCUUUGAACGCACAUUGCGCCCGCCAGCAUUCUGGCGGGCAUGCCUGUUCGAGCGUCAUUUCAACCCUCAAGCUCUGCUUGGUGUUGGGGCCCUACAGCUGAUGUAGGCCCUCAAAGGUAGUGGCGGACCCUCCCGGAGCCUCCUUUGCGUAGUAACUUUACGUCUCGCACUGGGAUCCGGAGGGACUCUUGCCGUAAAACCCCCAAUUUUCCAAAGGUUGACCUCGGAUCAGGUAGGAAUACCCGCUGAACUUAAGCAUAUCAA
This 548-nucleotide ribosomal RNA is filed under the name Colletotrichum sp. MTCC 4626. RNAcentral's name for it is "eukaryotic LSU rRNA". The stretch from base 188 to 341 matches the Rfam family "5.8S ribosomal RNA". Lineage: Eukaryota; Fungi; Ascomycota; Sordariomycetes; Glomerellales; Glomerellaceae. The record is from RNAcentral.